This 1372-nucleotide ribosomal RNA is filed under the name uncultured bacterium. RNAcentral's name for it is "bacterial SSU rRNA". It matches the Rfam family "Bacterial small subunit ribosomal RNA", at positions 28 to 1381 of the family's 1533-position model. The record is from RNAcentral.
GAUGAACGCUGGCGGCGUGCCUAAUACAUGCAAGUCGAGCGAACGGACGAGAAGCUUGCUUCUCUGAUGUUAGCGGCGGACGGGUGAGUAACACGUGGAUAACCUACCUAUAAGACUGGGAUAACUUCGGGAAACCGGAGCUAAUACCGGAUGAUAUUUUGAACCGCAUGGUUCAAAAGUGAAAGACGGUCUUGCUGUCACUUAUAGAUGGAUCCGCGCUGCAUUAGCUGGUUGGUAAGGUAACGGCUUACCAAGGCAACGAUGCAUAGCCGACCUGAGAGGGUGAUCGGCCACACUGGAACUGAGACACGGUCCAGACUCCUACGGGAGGCAGCAGUAGGGAAUCUUCCGCAAUGGGCGAAAGCCUGACGGAGCAACGCCGCGUGAGUGAUGAAGGUCUUCGGAUCGUAAAACUCUGUUAUUAGGGAAGAACAUAUGUGUAAGUAACUGUGCACAUCUUGACGGUACCUAAUCAGAAAGCCACGGCUAACUACGUGCCAGCAGCCGCGGUAAUACGUAGGUGGCAAGCGUUAUCCGGAAUUAUUGGGCGUAAAGCGCGCGUAGGCGGUUUUUUAAGUCUGAUGUGAAAGCCCACGGCUCAACCGUGGAGGGUCAUUGGAAACUGGAAAACUUGAGUGCAGAAGAGGAAAGUGGAAUUCCAUGUGUAGCGGUGAAAUGCGCAGAGAUAUGGAGGAACACCAGUGGCGAAGGCGACUUUCUGGUCUGUAACUGACACUGAUGUGCGAAAGCGUGGGGAUCAAACAGGAUUAGAUACCCUGGUAGUCCACGCCGUAAACGAUGAGUGCUAAGUGUUAGGGGGUUUCCGCCCCUUAGUGCUGCAGCUAACGCAUUAAGCACUCCGCCUGGGGAGUACGACCGCAAGGUUGAAACUCAAAGGAAUUGACGGGGACCCGCACAAGCGGUGGAGCAUGUGGUUUAAUUCGAAGCAACGCGAAGAACCUUACCAAAUCUUGACAUCCUUUGACAACUCUAGAGAUAGAGCCUUCCCCUUCGGGGGACAAAGUGACAGGUGGUGCAUGGUUGUCGUCAGCUCGUGUCGUGAGAUGUUGGGUUAAGUCCCGCAACGAGCGCAACCCUUAAGCUUAGUUGCCAUCAUUAAGUUGGGCACUCUAAGUUGACUGCCGGUGACAAACCGGAGGAAGGUGGGGAUGACGUCAAAUCAUCAUGCCCCUUAUGAUUUGGGCUACACACGUGCUACAAUGGACAAUACAAAGGGCAGCGAAACCGCGAGGUCAAGCAAAUCCCAUAAAGUUGUUCUCAGUUCGGAUUGUAGUCUGCAACUCGACUACAUGAAGCUGGAAUCGCUAGUAAUCGUAGAUCAGCAUGCUACGGUGAAUACGUUCCCGGGUCU